UACGGGGGGGGCAAGCGUUGUUCGGAAUUACUGGGCAUAAAGGGCUCGUAGGCGGCCAACUAAGUCAGACGUGAAAUCCCUCGGCUUAACCGGGGAACUGCGUCUGAUACUGGAUGGCUUGAGUUCGGGAGAGGGAUGCGGAAUUCCAGGUGUAGCGGUGAAAUGCGUAGAUAUCUGGAGGAACACCGGUGGCGAAGGCGGCAUCCUGGACCGAUACUGACGCUGAGGAGCGAAAGCGUGGGGAGCGAACAGG
Molecule: ribosomal RNA, 253 nt
Filed under: uncultured bacterium
Lineage: Bacteria
Description: partial 16S ribosomal RNA
Rfam family: Bacterial small subunit ribosomal RNA
Source: RNAcentral